GGGACUGAAAGGAUUUCUACAUAUUGAUAUUUGAUUUAUUUUUUAUUUAACUAAUCAAAUUUAUUAAUUUUUUACAUAUUAAAAAUUAAUAAAAAAAUAGUAAUUUAAUUGCAAAACAUAAUAUUAUAUCUUUUUCUAAAAAUUUAUUAUUAGUAUAAAUUAGUGAAAUCUUAAAUUUUAUUUUCUUGCUUUAAUUUAUUUAUUUAUUUAAAGAAUGCUCUAAUUGUAAAUUUAAAUUUUUUAUUCAAUUAGAAAAGUUUAAAUUAUUUAAAUUUAAAGGUUUAUUAAUUAUGAUUUAGUUAAAUAUCUAUUGAUGAAAUAUUUUGUCAAUAUGGACGUGGGUUCAAAUCCCACCAGUUCCA
This 362-nucleotide non-coding RNA is filed under the name Aphanocladia delicatula. The record is from RNAcentral. Lineage: Eukaryota; Rhodophyta; Florideophyceae; Ceramiales; Rhodomelaceae.